RNAcentral lists this unclassified non-coding RNA (309 nucleotides) under uncultured fungus. RNAcentral describes it as "sequence contains ITS2". The stretch from base 1 to 52 matches the Rfam family "5.8S ribosomal RNA", at positions 103 to 154 of the family's 154-position model. The record is from RNAcentral. Lineage: Eukaryota; Fungi.
AACGCACCUUGCGCUCCUUGGUACUCCGAGGAGCAUGCCUGUUUGAGUGUCAUUAAAUUCUCAACCUUACCAGCAUUUGUUGGUAUUGGCUUGGAUAUGGGGGUUUUUUUUUGCUGGCUUUGUCAAGAAGUCUGCUCCCCUUAAAUGCAUUAGCUGGUGCCCUGCGUGGAUCCCGUCUAUUGGUGUGAUAAUUAUCUAUGCCGUGGAUGGUCUGCUUUAAAUGGGAUGCACUGCUUCCAACCGUCCUUUUAGUCGGACAAUUAAUGACAAUUUGACCUCAAAUCAGGUAGGACUACCCGCUGAACUUAA